GCAAGGAAUAUUGCACAAUGGGGGGAACCCUGAUGCAGCAACGCCGCGUGGGCGAUGAAGGCCUUCGGGUUGUAAAGCCCUUUUCUAGAGGAAGAGACAAGGACGGUACUCUAGGAAUAAGUCUCGGCUAACUACGUGCCAGCAGCCGCGGUAAAACGUAGGAGACGAGCGUUAUCCGGAUUUACUGGGCGUAAAGGGCAAGUAGGCGGUUGGACAAGUUGGACGUGACAAUUCUCGGCUUAACUGAGAGGGGUCGUCCAAAACUAGCCAACUAGAGGGCAGGAGAGGGGAGUGGAAUUCCUAGUGUAGCGGUGGAAUGCUUAGAGAUUAGGAAGAACACCAGUGGCGAAGGCGGCUCUCUGGCCUGACCCUGACGCUGAGAGGCGAAAGCUAGGGGAGCGAACGGGCUUAGAAACCCUUGUAGUCC
This 427-nucleotide ribosomal RNA is filed under the name uncultured bacterium. Its description in RNAcentral is "bacterial SSU rRNA". It matches the Rfam family "Bacterial small subunit ribosomal RNA", at positions 354 to 796 of the family's 1533-position model. The record is from RNAcentral.